RNAcentral lists this ribosomal RNA (388 nucleotides) under uncultured bacterium. RNAcentral describes it as "bacterial SSU rRNA". It matches the Rfam family "Bacterial small subunit ribosomal RNA", at positions 28 to 418 of the family's 1533-position model. The record is from RNAcentral.
GACGAACGCUGGCGGCGUGCUUAACACAUGCAAGUCGAGCGGUAAGGCCCUUUCGGGGGUACACGAGCGGCGAACGGGUGAGUAACACGUGGGUGACCUGCCCUCAGCUCUGGGAUAAGCCCGGGAAACUGGGUCUAAUACCGGAUAUGACUCCAUGACGCAUGUUGUGGGGUGGAAAGCCUUGUGCGGCUGAGGAUGGGCCCGCGGCCUAUCAGCUUGUUGGUGGGGUGAUGGCCACCAAGGCGACGACGGGUAGCCGGCCUGAGAGGGCGACCGGCCACACUGGGACUGAGAUACGGCCCAGACUCCUACGGGAGGCAGCAGUGGGGAAUCUUGCGCAAUGGGCGAAAGCCUGACGCAGCGACGCCGCGUGAGGGAUGACGGCCUG